RNAcentral lists this ribosomal RNA (885 nucleotides) under uncultured bacterium. RNAcentral describes it as "bacterial SSU rRNA". It matches the Rfam family "Bacterial small subunit ribosomal RNA", at positions 20 to 878 of the family's 1533-position model. The record is from RNAcentral.
UGGCUCAGAACGAACGCUGGCGGCGUGGAUUAGGCAUGCAAGUCGAACGCGAAAGAGGGGGCAACUCCUCGAGUAGAGUGGCGAACGGGUGAGUAACGCGUGAGAAACCUGCCUUCAUCAGGGGGAUAACACUCCCAACGGGGUGCUAAUACCGCAUGAGACCACGGGAUCGCAUGGUCCUGAGGUCAAAGGUGGCCUCUAUUUAUAAGCUACCGGAUGGAGAUGGUCUCGCGUCCCAUUAGCUAGUUGGCGGGGUAACGGCCCACCAAGGCGACGAUGGGUAGCUGGUCUGAGAGGAUGGUCAGCCACACUGGGACUGAGAUACGGCCCAGACUCCUACGGGAGGCAGCAGUCGAGAGGCUUCGGCAAUGGGGGAAACCCUGACCGAGCGACGCCGCGUGGGGGAUGAAGGCCCUUGGGUUGUAAACCCCUUUUGUUCGGGAAGAAGUGCGAUCAGGUGAACAAUCUGGUCGUUUGACGGUACCGGACGAAUAAGCUCCGGCUAACUCCGUGCCAGCAGCCGCGGUAACACGGGGGGAGCAAGCGUUGUUCGGAAUCACUGGGCGUAAAGGGCGUGUAGGCGGUCAGGUAAGUGAGAUGUGAAAUGCCCCGGCUCACCCGGGGACCGGCAUCUCAUACUGCUUGGCUUGAGUACGGGAGAGGAUGUGGGAAUUCCUGGUGUAGCGGUGAAAUGCGUAGAUAUCAGGAGGAACACCGGUGGCGAAGGCGCACAUCUGGCCCGAUACUGACGCUGAGGCGCGAAAGCUAGGGGAGCAAACGGGAUUAGAUACCCCGGUAGUCCUAGCCGUAAACGGUGAUCACUAGGUGUUGGAGGCAUUGACCCCUCCAGUGCCGCAGCUAACGCAUUAAGUGAUCCGCCUGGGG